Molecule: RNA transcript, 5935 nt
Organism: Haplochromis burtoni (Burton's mouthbrooder)
Lineage: Eukaryota; Metazoa; Chordata; Actinopteri; Cichliformes; Cichlidae
Gene name: transmembrane protein 272-like
Exons: 10
Source: RefSeq, a predicted model, not a curated record
GUGUGAACACGUUGCCAAGUUCUCGUGCAAACAUUCUUUUCUUGUCCUUCAAACAAGACACACAGGCAGGUUUCAUUUCUAACUAGUCACGAUGCCAGAGAGCGAUAGACCUCAACACACUUGGAUACCUCGAGUAAUAAGGUGUAUCUCUGUGAUUUUCUUCAUCCUGUUUAAUGUUCAAGCGAUAGUUGGAUGUGUGUACUUUAAUGACUGUCCAAGGGCGCCCUCCAUUCCCAUCAUUCUGGUUAUUUGUGGAUUCAUACCUGUCUUGUGGGGAUUGAGCCGGUUUUUGAACAGGUGCAAUAUUUUCUUCGACUGUCUGUUCCUCAACCUCCAUUUUGCCUGCUUCAUCAUCGGUAGCAUAAUCGUCUACUCCAUCUAUGAACCCGACUACAACAAGAACACUACAGAAACCGAUCACUACUGCAACAAGACGCUCUACCUGUCUGCAUUUUGUUGCAUCACCCUGACCUACAUCAUGACAGGUGUUUAUGCUUUCACUUAUUUUUUUGCUCGCUGCACCAACCAGAUGGUUUACGAUGAUGAGGAUCGGCCACUGUUGUGGAGCUAAUCAUAUGAAAGUGUGUACGUUUGUGUGUUCCCCACCUCCUCUUAGACCAGUGGACCAAUACUGAUGAAACAGAUUAAAAUGGUUUCACAAUAAUAUAUAUCAUAUCAAAUAUAUCAAACUAUAAUGGUCAUAUACUAAUAAUAAUAAUGAUGCUGGCUGUAAUAAAAUCACAAGCAAACAACAGACCAAAUAUUAUACAAAUAUUUUCAUGUGUGCUUAUAUACAGAACAUAAUCCAUUUAAUGUUGGUUAAUACAGCAACAUGCAGUUUUUGAUCUUUUGUUAGAGAAAUCUUACUAUUAACAAUUCAUACAGAUGACUCAUCAUAGCAGAAUAAAUGAUCAUGAUCUUCCCCGUUUAACAAACGGAUAUAUUUUGUGUUAUUAAAUGUGUGAUUUUAUUUAUUUUCCAAUAUCCAUGCUGUUUCUUUCUUCUUCUUCUUCUUUUUAAUUGUAAGUAAAUAAAUAAAUAAAAUGGGUUAGGACAACAGGACAACCUGUUGUUGAUUGGUUCUUGUUGUUUUGAGACAGCAGCUUUGAUCAUUGAUGUGUGGUGUAGAUUUAAGCUGCUUCAAACUUCUCUUGUACCUCCGCUAGUUUGUAAGUUAACACCAGAGCACUAUUACAUUUCCUAGUUGUUUAUUAUGCUAAACACCCCUUUUUUAUUUUAUUUUAUUUUAUUUUAUUUUAUUUUAUUUUAUUUUAUUUUAUUUUAUUUUAUUUUAUUUUAUUUUAUUUUAUUUUAUUUUUGCUUUGCUCUAUGCUCUAUGAGAAAACACACUUCUACCCUGUGGGGCAAGGAAUCGCCUGCAGUAAUAUUUGAGGCCACUAGAUGUCCCCCUAAUGCCUCUACAUCAUGCAGUAAAUAAUUGUUAUGACUGAAUCUCGAAUAACAAAUUUUCUCAACAUUAUUCAUUUUCUUUCCAUUAUUAAUAUAUAUCCUUUUUUUGCCUUUUGACAUGAUUUUUUUCUACACUCAACCAUCAGUGAAAUUAAAUUAUUAAAAAUAAAAGAGAGCGGUGUUGGAACUGAGAACAGGGCGUGUAUUUCACAAGAAGCAGAAAGACCUCGUCCAGCACAGGAAGUGCACUUAUACUCUGUCUACAACAAUGUUUAUGCGAAUACGAGGGGAGGCUGAUGGAAACUUCUUCUGGGAGUAAAACUGUCAGUUAGAAAAGAAGAACCAUGGCCUACUCUCAUAAGAGUCUGGGGUUUUCUUCAACAGAGGUGUUUACGUUUGUGCUCUGAUCUGUGAACACAAAAGAGAGCUUUGGAAAACUGAAAACUAACACUGGAAAAAGGAUACAGUGAAUUUUCUGCAAACCCUGAGCUUUACCCCACAUUUCCUUAAAUAUACAAAAACAAACAAGAAAAUAAACGAAAACAGAAAACAGAUAUUUUUUCAUUGUUAAUUUUCUUUAUCUAAAAGUGAUUCACAUGUUUAAUUACCAUGGAAAUGGCUGUACUUACUUAUGAUUACAUGAUAUAACUGUAAUGGGAAGGGCAGGCAAAAAGAGAACAGGCGUUAAAGUGAGACAGUGUAAGAGGAAGUUGAAACAAUAUCAUGCGCACAUUGCUCUUUAUGUGGCCACGUACUUGCAACAGUCCUUUUCUGUAUCUUCAAAUGUGUCCGGUCAGACACACAAACAGGUUCGACUAAUAGUUAUCAUGCCAGGGAGUCAGAGACCACAAUUCGUGUGUGGACUACGAAACAUAGUAAUAGGAUGUACCUUGAUCAUUUUCUCCUUCACAUUUGUUGCUCAAGGAAUACUUGGUUCAGGACUCUAUAACUGUCCCAGACAGACUUUUAUCCCUUUCUACAUGUCCCUGUAUGGGAUCAUACCGGUCUUCCUGGCACUGAGCUUAUGGCACAACUGGUGCAACACUUUCUGUUGGUCCAUGACCAUCAUCUUCCUGUGUGGCUGGUUACUUGCGGGUAAUAUAGUCAUCUACUCUAUUUAUGAACCCAACUACAACAAGAAUAUGACACAGCCUGAUGUCUACUGCAACACGAUGCUCUACCUGUUCGCGUUUUGUUUCACCGUUGUGACCUACAUCCUGUUAGCGAUGCUCUUUUUAGCUUUUUGCUGUUGUAGACAACGACAGCCCGAUGGUGACAAUGACACUCAAAGACUUGUGCUGUAAUUAAAUAGAGAUAAUUAAAACAAGACAACAAUUAUGGCAGAUGGUGCAUUUAAAGACAGUUUUCCUGUGUGUCCGGGUAUAUACCAUGUGCAUUCCACAACACUCUUUUAAUAUGUAAAAAUAUCCUUGGAUAAAGCAAGUUUUAGAGUUGAGCACAACUCUAUGAGACGGGAUGAUGUGUCUGUGGCUGGACACAAACCACUUACUGUUCUGUUGCAGAAAGAGCAGCAUUGUGUUUGCAAAUAAGUCAUGAAACAGUUUUUCCCCGUGUUCUUUAUCAUUAACAUAUCGUGCUGUGCAGGAGUCUUGAGCCACCCCUUUUUGUUUGCAUUAAUAUGUUUAUUAAGACAUGCAAACAUACAUAGAAAUACAGCAUAUAAGGUAAAAACAGAAUCUGUAUAAAGUCAAUAUUUGGUGUGAUCAUCUUUAUUCGUCAGCAUUCGUCAGUCUGCAAUCUCUCAGUCAAACUUUCUUAUUAUUUCUUCAAGUAGUCUUCAGGAAUAGUUCUCCAGGCUUCUUGAUUUCCAAGCUCUUCUUUGGAUGAUGGUUGGAUGAUUUAUAGGUCACUGUUGUUGUCAUAUUAUCAUGAUCACCAUCGUCGAGCAUGGUUUUCUGUCAGAUACCCUAUCUGACAGAUACAGGGACUGCACUGAAAAUGAGUGAAAAAGCAGCCAAUGAAAGACCUUCAGAAAACCUGGAGAACUAUUUCUCAAGACCACCUUAAAAAUUACAAUUAAAAGUCUGGCUCCUUGGGAAAAUUAUUUUAAACAUGAGGGGUGGCUCAAGUCUUUUGCACAGACUAAAAAUGUAUCUACAUGUUAAUUUAUUGUCUUUAAAUAAAAACGAAUGAAACAUUAUAUCAAUAUUUCCUGUCCUUUUAUUGGCUGAUGCCGUCUUUUCCAGCCUGCUUCCUGAAUAAUAUGAAAUGACAAUUUUCACAAUAAAAGCAGGAGAUGCAUUUUAUAAAAGCAAACUUUGCGCUGCUGAGAAACAUGUGGCAUUAAAUUCUUGAGGUAGAGGUCCGAGUGGGUUAGGGCAAUUGAGAGGAAGUGUUGUUAUCUUAAAACAAAAGCCUGUCAAAAGUGUGUUUGUAUUUACAGAAGCUGUUGUGUCUGCAACGUCUUCUGCUGAUAGUAAAAUUAUGAGAAAAGAAGAACCAUGACCCACUGUUUUUCCUUGACAGAGACAUUGUUGGUGGUUGGCCACGUUUUUGCACUGAUCUGUGACGCAAACAGUUCUUUAGGAACCUGAAACCUAAACUACGUUUAAAACCUUAAACUAGAAGAAAACAGCUUACAGUUUCUUAAAAAACUGAAGCAAGGAAAAUAUGUUUGCAAUUUUUCAAAUAAAGAAUUAUUUAAAAGAGUAAGUGGCUGUACUUACUAAUGAUUAAAUGAUAUAACUGUAAUGGGAAGGUAAGGCAAAAAGAGAACAAGCAGUAACGUGAAACACUGUAACAGGAAGUUGAAACAAUAUCAUGACCACACGGCCACAAUCUCUGUGCUCAUGUUCUUGCGACAGUCCUUUUCUGUAUCUUCAAAUGUGUCCGGUCAGACACACAAACAGCUUCCAAAACUGAUGUAUGUCGUGAAGAGCCCUUUACUCCCAUGUGCAUCCUCAGUUACUGAAUCAUGUCUGCAUUCAUGGCACUGAGCGUGUGCACAGCUCCAAGACUGCAGCGCCAAAUGGUGCAACAUUGUCUGUUGCUCAAUCCCGAUUGUGUUCUGCUGUUGUUGGUUCCUUGCUAAAAAAAAAAAAGAAGAAGAAGAAGAAGAAAGAAAAAGAUAUCAACAGCAGUAGAUACCUGCUUUAAAAAUAUUAUUUACAGACUGCACUGCCAGAAUAACCAACAACAUAUAGACUGUGUAUCUAUACAUUUAUUUAUUACAUUUGGAAAAUGAAUGCCUUAAAGUAGCAUCUUAAAUUUUUUUUUACAGGUAAUCUGUGGCUCUACUACAAUUUUAAACCCAAAUGCAACAAGAGCACAAUCAAAGCCACUGUCUACUGCAGCGAGACACUCUGUCUGUCUGCAUUUUGAAACACCAACUAGACCUGCAUCCUGGUCGCACCGCUGUUUUUCUCUUUUUUUGUUCUAAUGGCGAUAAUGAGACUCAAACACUUGAGUUUUGCUAUUAACAUAUCAGGUACCUAUAAAUCACUGUGGAAUAGACUGUAUGUGAAUUCUAAUGCACGCAUUUAUUUUAUUAAGGUGUUGGUUUGAAGGAGUUGGCGUCACACAUUUAAAAAUACUCAUAAGGGUGAGAAAGUGAUGUUUCUUCACUGAGAACUUUCAGUGAAAUGACCUCAUUGAAACAUACAUACAGUUUACAGUAUAGACCUUAUUAAAUACAAUUACAUGUGCAUUUUGGUGAGAAGCUUAUAUGCAUUUUAAUGGUUUCUUAUAGUAGGCAAAGUUCCUUUAAAGACCGCACUGUCAUGAGGCUCCUCACCUGUUUGCGUUAAUGCUGUACAAUACUGCCACCUUGUGUUUAAAGGCGUCUGUGUCCUGUUAACAGCAAGCUGAGUGGCCAGUAACUAGUUUCUGGAGGUGACUGCGUCAGAGGACAGUUCAUAUGCACAGGUCUGCCUGGAACAAGUUUUGUCAUGUUGCUACUGGACUGUUUUCAUUUGUGGGGUUUUUUUUCGGUAAACCUCUGGUCUUUAAUGGUAAACCGAGGGGAGACCAGAGUCAGGCGCACGCUGGUCUGCUUUUACUUCUCUAAGAUCGGCCAUUAGCCUUCCGUGAUUUAGUUUCAUAAAAGAGGAAUUUCCUCUUGCUAACCAACAUGUGUAAUGCAGACAGGGGCGGAUCUGCACGGGUGGCAUGGACCACCCUAAAAUAAUCUCUUACCACCCCUGGUGCCACACUAGUUUUGCAUACGACAGUACUAGAGAGAAACGUGGACGGUUCAUUCUCUGCCAGAUCCUAUAGUUUCACAUUUCUAAAAGAAGUAAAACAUUUCUUAUGUUCCACUUUCUCAGUAAUUUGACUUUGUACUUUUUAUGUGAUAUAGCUGACAAACAAAUGAUGUAAAGGUAGAUUUGUCAUAGAGAAAAGCUCCAUUCAUGAUAUAAUCACUGAAUCGUGACUGAUUUAGCUGUAACCUGAAGGCAUUUACAUGUGACCAAAUCUUCUCACCGUUAACAGUUAAAGUCCUGUCAGACACUAAAUGAUAGCCCUACAAACAAACUGUUUAAUUAUAUCACUUAAUACAUUUCAG